GGAGCCAAUCAAAUGCUAUUAGGUGGAUGACUCGGUUCUAGAGCUGAUGAAGGAUGUGACUAGCUGCAUUAAGCUUUGGCGAGAUGCAUGUAAUCCUUGAACCAAAGAUAUCCGAAUGGGACUUCCCUUUAAAUCCGAAAGGAUGGGGAACUUGGGGGACUGAAACAUCUUAGUACCCAAAGGAAAAGAAAUCAAUCGAGAUGCUGUGAGUAAGAGCGACCGAAAACAGCACAAGACAAACCGAAUCUUCCUUAGAAAUAAGGAAGGGAUGUGGUGUUGAAGGACUGCCUUUUAUCCGGCUCGGAUGAUUCAAACUCUUCUGGAAAGUUGGGCCGAAGAGGGUGAAAGCCCCGUAGAAGAAAUCUGAGUGGAUUGUGGCAGGAUCCUGAGUACUGUUCGCUGGAAACCGAACAGGAAGCUGGGAGGCAUCAACUUCCAAUCUUAAAUACUCCUAGAGACCGAUAGAGAAUAAGUACCGUGAGGGAAAGUUGAAAAGAACCCUUAACAGGAACUGAAAAGACCCUGAAACCUAAUAGCUAUAGUGGGGUGCGGCUUUACGGAGUUGCACCGUGCGUUUUGAAUAACGUGCCAGGGAGUGUAUCUGAGUGGCGAGAGUAAUCUGAAAAGGAGGACUCAUAGGGAAACCAAUGACCCGCAGCUUGCAAGGGGUAAGGUAUGAAAGUGCCUUGAGUCACUUGGGUACGACCCGAAUCCGAGCGAUCUACUCCAGGGCAGGGUGAAGUCAGGGUAAAACCUGGUGGAGGCCCGAAGAGGUUCUACGGGCAAGUGUUCUUCUGACCUUGGAAUAGGGGUGAAAAGCCAAUCGAGCUCGGUGAUAGCUGGUUCCAGCCGAAGUUGGCCGUAGUCAAGUCUGAAGCGAGAGCGCCUAAGUGGUAAAGAGACGGAUUUUAGGUAUCAGGUGUCGAAAGGCAUCGGUCUUUUGUCCAACUCAGAAUGCUUAGGCCUUGUAGACCUUUGGAUACGGGGUGCCGGGGUAAGCUUGGUAUCCGAGAGGGGAACAACCCAGACUUUCGUUAAGGUCCCAAAAUAGUGACUAAGUGUGAAAGGGUGAAGAGUGUCUGCAACCUCAGACAGCGAGGAGGUUGGCUUAGAAGCAGCCAUCCUUUAAAAAGUGCGUAAUAGCUUACUCGUCAAGGUUGUAGGCCUCGAAGAUGGACGGGGCUAAGUCAUUUACCGAUACGGAAGACAUCAUAUGAUUGUGAUAGGCUGGCGUUUUGAUAGGGCAGAAGCACGCUCGAGAGAGUGUGUAGACCUUUCAAAAAUGAAAAUCCUGGCGGAAGUAGGAGCAGAGAAGAGUGAGACACUCUUCCACCGAAAGGGCAAGGGUUCCUUGGCAAUGUCAAUCAGCCAAGGGUUAGUUGAUCCUAACCACGUUCAGAAAUUGAACAAAGGGAAAGGGAAACAGGUUAAUAUUCCUGUACUAUUCGAGUAUGCGCGGCAACGCAAGUCUUGUUUCUGACGCUUCGGGAGAGGUCGGCAUAUCCAGUGAGGUAUGUUAACCUGGACAAAUGAAGGGAGUAUUGUAAUGAUGAGAACUUCAUUAAAACAGGGAAUAGUAUUCCGCAAGGAGUAUCCGGCUCGUAUCUGGAGCUCAUAAAAAAGGAACAGGAAAAGAUCUCGGAUAUUCAUACCCAGAACCAGCACUGGUGCCCCUAGGUGAGAAGCCUAAGGUGUGUAGGUAUAAUCCAAUUAAGGGAACUCGGCAAAUUAGUCCCGUGACUUCGGCAUAAGGGAUCCCUGCGGUUGUCAACGCGAUCGCAGGGCGCAGUAACAGAGAUGGUCCGACUGUUUAACAAAAACCAAAUUAACUGCUAGCCUGUAAAGGUGCGUACAGUUGAUGACGCCUGCCCAGUGCCAGUACUUGAAACCCCAAUUCAAUGGGGCUAAGAGCUGGUAAACGGCGGGGGUAACUAUAACUCUCUUAAGGUAGCGUAAUACCUUGCCGAUUGAAUGUCGGCUCGCAUGAAUGGCGUAACGAGAUCGUCGCUGUCCCUAGUUGGAAGCCUCCGAACACUCUUUCCUGGUGCAAAGGCCAGGGAUCUCCAGUGGGAAGUGAAGACCCCGUGAAACUUUACUGUAGCUUGCUGCUGUUAUGUGGGCUUCGUUAUAUAGCGUAAGUAGGAGUCGUUAAAGCAAAGGCGCAAGCUUUUGUGUAGACGCCAAUGUAACACUACUUUUCGGAGCCUACGUAACUCAUUGGGAAACCAAGACACCAGCAGGUGGACAGUUUGGCUGGGGUGGCACCCUGCUGAAAAGAUAUCAGCAGGGCCCUAAGGUUGGCUCAAGAGGUUCAGAAAUCCUCUGUAGAGUGUAAGGGCAUAAGCCAGCCUGAUUGGACUUCUAUCAAGAUGAACUCCAAACGCGAAAGCGUGGCCUAGCGAACUCCCGUACCUCCUUGAUGGGGGUCGGGAAUGACCGAAAAGUUACUCCGGGGAUAACAGAGUCGUCUCGCCCGAGAGUUCAUAUCGACGGCGAGGCUUGCUACAUCGAUGUCGGCUCUUCCUAUCCUGCGCGUGCAGAAUAUUUCGAAGGAACUGAGAAAUGCUCAGAAAUCUUCGAUUUCUGUUGGCGUGCAAGGGUGGGGGUGUUCACCCGUUAAAAGGGAUCGUGAGCUGGGUUCAGAACGCUGCGAGGCAGUUUGUUUAAUAUCUACUGGAGAUGUUGGUGUCUGAAGGGAAGGAAGCCAUAGUACGAGAGGAACUGGCUUUCGGAGCCUCUGGUUUACCUGUUAUCUUCCAAGGUACGCAGGGCAGCUACGCUCUAAGGGAUAAGUGCUGAAAGCAUCUAAGCACGAAGCCCUCCUUGAAAAGAGACACCGCAGGACCCUCCUAGAAGAGGAGCUUGAUGGGAUUGGUGUGUACGCACGAAGCUUCGGCGACGUGUUCAGCAUGCAAUUUCCAAACGUCCGUAAUUGGUUUCC
Molecule: ribosomal RNA, 2941 nt
Filed under: uncultured archaeon
Lineage: Archaea
Description: bacterial LSU rRNA
Rfam family: Archaeal large subunit ribosomal RNA
Source: RNAcentral